ACGACCCCAGGACAAGUAUUAAAAGAAACUACUUCCACUUCAGCUGGAUCAGCCAAGAAACUGCUAUUUUCUUGUCCAAUUGUAAAUCUUCCAGGGAACUUGACAAUGAGGCAACCAUUAGGUAGGAUCCACCAAAUCUUCCCAGUAGCCCAGGCCCCACCUGUUUUACGAGGCCAUUCAAAUCGAGGGCUAAGAACAUUAGUUUUCAGUCUCACAAACUGACCAACAAAGUAUGAUUCAGCCAUUUGAAGCUCUGAAUAUUUUCCUUUCCAUAGAGUUUCCACACCUAUAAAUCCAACAGCCACACUUCCAUCACGAUUUAUGGAAUGAAGAAUGCCAACUGGCGAGUGCU
RNAcentral lists this long non-coding RNA (352 nucleotides) under Populus trichocarpa (black cottonwood). Its description in RNAcentral is "long non-coding RNA (PTRI_LNC003954)". The record is from RNAcentral. Lineage: Eukaryota; Viridiplantae; Streptophyta; Magnoliopsida; Malpighiales; Salicaceae.